Molecule: ribosomal RNA, 274 nt
Filed under: uncultured bacterium
Lineage: Bacteria
Description: partial 16S ribosomal RNA
Rfam family: Bacterial small subunit ribosomal RNA
Source: RNAcentral
AUACGGAGGGUGCGAGCGUUAAUCGGAAUUACUGGGCGUAAAGGGCGCGUAGGCGGCGAUGUAAGUCAAAUGUGAAAGUCCUCGGCUUAACCGGGGAAGUGCAUCUGAAACUGCAUUGUCUGAGUAUGGGAGAGGAAAGUGGAAUUCCCGGUGUAGAGGUGAAAUUCGUAGAGAUCGGGAGGAAUACCGGUGGCGAAGGCGACUUUCUGGACCAAUACUGACGCUGAGGCGCGAAAGCGUGGGGAGCAAACAGGAUUAGAAACCCUAGUAGUCC